GCUGUGGGAGGUGCCAUGCAUGUGCCUGCAGCCAUGCAGGUCCCUGAGUGUCGCAUGGGGCCUCACGUGCACAGGUUUGCAUUGGUGGGCGUGGAAGUACACGGGGCUGCUUGGGUGCAUAUGCACUUGUAUGCACCCAAAGGAGGUGGGAGACCACCAGCCUUCAGGAACCCCAGAGCCUGGGAAAGGCUGCAGCACCAUGUGGAAGAGGAUCUUGCUGGAGGAGGACAAGGCCCCUGAGCCUUGGUGGGAUGGACCCAUGAGUGCUGAGGGAACUGGCUCCUGUCAUCAAGAGGCCACUCUCAAUAACCUGCAGUUGACUGUGGCAACUGGGAGAGGACUGGAGGGAAGCAAAUGUCACUUCUAUCUUCAGGAAGGGCAUGAAGGAGGACCAAGGGAACUAAAGGCCAGUCAGCCUCACUUCCAUUCCUGGAAAGGUGGUGGAACAGCAAGUCGUGGGAACCACUGCCAGGCACCUGGAGGAGUCAGCACAGCUUCACUGAAGGGAAGUUCUGCUUGACCAACCUGACCACUUUCUAUGAUGGAGUGGCCCUGCAAAUGAAGGGAAAGCAGUGGAUGUUGUCUACCCAGACUUCAGGAAGGCGUUUGAUACCAUCUUCCAUCAGAUCUCCCUAGAGAAGCUGUUGAUGUACAGGCUGGAUGAGCAGAUGUUGAGUUGGAUUGAAAACUGGCUUGGUGGCUGGACACAGAGGGUGGUGGUCAGCAGCACAAGGUCUAGUUGCGGGCCAGUUAAGUAGUAGUGCAAACCCAGGGAUCAGCACUGGGUCCAGUCCUGUUAAACAUCUUCAUUACCAACCUGUAUGAUGGGACAGAAUGCUCCCUCAGCAAGUCUGCAGAUUACACCAGACUGGGAGGAGUGGUUCAUAAACCAGGGGGUCAUGCAUCCAUCCAGAGAGACCUGGACAAGCUGGAGAAAUGGGCUGGCAGGAAACCUUACGAAGUUCAACAAGUGGGAGUGCAAAGUCCUGCCUCUAGGGAGGAACAACCCCAGGCACCAAGACAUCGUGGGGGCCACCUGGUUGGAAACCAGGUCUGCAGAAAAGGCCCUGGAGAGAUUAUGUGGCGGAGACCACACUGACCAUGAGUUCAGUGUGUUCUUGAUGUUGUCAUCAGCUCAAGGGAGGUUGAGGAGGCACUGGUGAAGCCACGCCUGGAGUGCUGGGUCCAGUGCUGGGCUCCCAAGAGAAAGUCCAAGAGACAUGGGUAUACUGGAGGGAGUCCAAAGAAGUCUUCAAAGAUAAUGGACUGGAGUGUUUUUCACAUAACGUGAGGCUGGGAGAGCUGGGACUGUCUGGCCUGGAGCAGAGAAGGUUCAAGGGGGUCUCAUCAAUCUACACAAAUACCUGAAGGCAGGCUGCAAAGAGGAUAGAGGCUGGCUCUUCUCAGUGGUGCCCAGUAGCAGAACCAGAGGCAUUGGCUUCAAACUAGACCACAGGAGAUUCUCUCUGCAUGUCAGGAAACACUUUUUCCCUGUGAGCUGACCAAGCCCUGGCACAGGCUGCCCAGACAAGUUGUACAGUCUCCAUCCCUGCAGAAACUCAACACCCAACUGGACAGUGACCUGGGCAACCAGCCUCGGGUGGGCUUGCUUGAGCAGGGGCUUGGACCCCAACAGCCUCCAAGCUCAAGCAGCCACAGUAUAUGUGUGUGUGUGCGCAGCUGGGCAUGUGUGUAGAGCUUUGGGUGCAUGCACACAUUGCUGCAUGUGUGACUGCAUGUGCUGGUGUGUGUUUCUGCCUCUUUGCAGCUCUGUGUGCAAUUGCAUCUGUGCACUGGUGUGUGGACUGCAUGUAGCUGUAUGUAGCUGUGCAUGCAGCUGUGCAUGUGUGCUCACAGCUGUGUGUGCAGGGGGUUGCAAGUGUGCACAGCUGUGUGCAUGUGUGCAUACACAGCCAGCCAUGCACACACACCCCCUUGUUCUGCACAUCGUGUGUGUCUGCAAUGUCUGCAUGUGCAUACUGUGUUUGCACUGUGUGUGUUGGGGUGCAGUCUGUGUGUGCAUCCACAGUUUUUGGUGUGCAUGUUUGUGGUGUGCAAUGUGCACGUGUGCACAUGGGUGUGCGGUUGCAGUGUGCACAUCCAAGUUUGUGAUGCGGGUGUGUUUGUGGUGUUGGGGUGUGUGCAGGGGGUGUGAGUGUGCGCAGUGUGGGUGUUUAGGGGUGUUUAGGAGGUGUCCGGGCGUAUUCAGGGGGUGAUGAGCGUUUCCACGUGCUCACGGUGUGUGUACGUGUGUACACGUGGCUGUCCACGCUGCGCAUGUGUGGUGUGCGUUUGCUGUGCGCGUGCAGCGUGUGUCGUACUCGUGCUGAGGCUGCUCGACGUGCGCGUGCUCGAGCCCGUCGGGGCGGGAUCCCCCGUGCGCGCCGUGGCCGUGACGUGGCGUUGCGGGAUGCUGCGGGCGCUGCCGCUGCUGCUGCUGGUGUCGGUGCUGGCGGCAGGGCUCGGCCCAGGACCCCCCCGGCACCGCGGGGCUGAGCUGCGGGACCUGGCCCGGGGCAAGGUGGAGGUGAGCACGGGGCUGGGCGGAGGGUGCGGGAACACCGCGGGACGCCGGCGGCGGUGACGGGGUGUCUCGUCCCGCAGACCUGCGGCGGGUGACGGCUGAACCGCCUGAGGGAGGUGAAGGCGUUCGUCACCCAGGACAUUCCCCUCUACCAUAACCUAGAGAUGAAGCAUCUGCCUGGUGCUGACCCUGAGCUUGUGCUCCUCAGCCACCGAUACGAGGAGCUGGAGAGAAUCCCCCUAAGCGACAUGACCCGGGAGGAGAUCAAUCAGCUGGUGCAGGAGCUGGGUUUCUACCGCAAGGAGACGCCUGAUGCCCCUGUGCCCGAGGAGUUCCAGUUUGCACCUGCCAGGCCUCUGCCCCCACUGCCACCUCCCCAAACUCCCACUGCUGAUGGCCACACCCCAGCCAAACACAACGAGGGAGAACACCCAGACCUCUAAUGAGGGGUGCUGCAGCCAGGAGAAGGUCCUGCAGCCAGUCCCUGGUGUGCAGGGAUAAGGACAUCACAGCAGCUGGGGAUGGUGCUGCGGAGUGGCAGAGGUGCUCCUGUUGUUGCUUGGUGCUGUGUAGCCUCUGUCCCAAGGAUGCCCUGAGCUGCCCCAGCCUUUAUCAGGGGUUUCAUGGGCAUUGUGGCCCUCUCAGGGGUGUGCAACAAGCACACAGGACUUGUUGCACACACCUUCCCCUGCAGCCCAGCAUUCCCAGACGGUCAGAUGUUCUUUGUGCUCCCUCUCAGUGCCCUGAGAUUUAGCUGACGCCUGGCGUUGGGCAGCGAUAUCCUACCUGCGUGGGACAGGAUGAAACCCUCAGCAGAAAGCCUCACGUGCUGAGGGUUGAUGUGUUGAGUCCUGGAGGUGGGAAAGCUGCCCCCAGAGGGGUUAUGGCUUUAUGCCCCAGCAGGAUUGUCUCAUAUCAAGCCCCCAGUAAAGCCCUUGCAUACU
Molecule: long non-coding RNA, 3468 nt
Filed under: Strigops habroptila (Kakapo)
Lineage: Eukaryota; Metazoa; Chordata; Aves; Psittaciformes; Psittacidae
Description: lncRNA (ENSSHBG00005006559.1)
Source: RNAcentral